ACCUGGCUGGCUCAAUUGGUGGAGCAUGUGACUCUUGAUCUCUGGGUUGUGAGCACAAGCCCCAUGCUGGGUG
RNAcentral lists this transfer RNA (73 nucleotides) under Canis lupus familiaris (dog). It matches the Rfam family "tRNA". From Rfam's summary of the family: Transfer RNA (tRNA) molecules are approximately 80 nucleotides in length. Their secondary structure includes four short double-helical elements and three loops (D, anti-codon, and T loops). RNAcentral also lists the same sequence under 2 other names. Lineage: Eukaryota; Metazoa; Chordata; Mammalia; Carnivora; Canidae. The record is from Rfam by way of RNAcentral.